This 460-nucleotide ribosomal RNA is filed under the name uncultured bacterium. RNAcentral describes it as "partial 16S ribosomal RNA". It matches the Rfam family "Bacterial small subunit ribosomal RNA", at positions 338 to 795 of the family's 1533-position model. The record is from RNAcentral.
CCUACGGGUGGCAGCAGUGAGGAAUAUUGGUCAAUGGACGAGAGUCUGAACCAGCCAAGUAGCGUGAAGGAUGACUGCCCUAUGGGUUGUAAACUUCUUUUAUAUGGGAAUAAAAUGUUCCACGUGUGGGAUUUUGUAUGUACCAUAUGAAUAAGGAUCGGCUAACUCCGUGCCAUCAGCCGCGGUACUACGGAGGAUCCGAGCGUUGUCCGGAUUGAUUGGGUUUAAAGGGAGCGUAGGUGGAUUGUUAAGUCAGUUGUGAAAGUUUGCGGCUCAACCGUAAAAUUGCAGUUGAAACUGGCAGUCUUGAGUACAGUAGAGGUGGGCGGAAUUCGUGGUGUAGCGGUGAAAUGCUUAGAUAUCACGAAGAACUCCGAUUGCGAAGGCAGCUCACUGGACUGCAACUGACACUGAGGCUCGAAAGUGUGGGUAUCAAACAGGAUUAGAUACCCCUGUAGUC